CGUAGGGUGCGAGCGUUAAUCGGAAUUACUGGGCGUAAAGCGUGCGCAGGCGGUUAUGAAAGACAGGCGUGAAAUCCCCGGGCUUAACCUGGGAACUGCGUUUGUGACUCCAUAACUCGAGUACGGCAGAGGGGGGUGGAAUUCCACGUGUAGCAGUGAAAUGCGUAGAGAUGUGGAGGAACACCGAUGGCGAAGGCAGCCCCCUGGGCCAGUACUGACGCUCAUGCACGAAAGCGUGGGGAGCAAACAGGAUUAGAUACCCUGGUAGUCCACGCCCUAAACGAUGUCAACUAGUUGUUGGUAGGGUAAAACCUAUUAGUAACGGAGCUAACGCGUGAAGUUGACCGCCUGGGGGAGGUACCGGCCGCAAAGGUUA
RNAcentral lists this ribosomal RNA (376 nucleotides) under uncultured organism. RNAcentral's name for it is "bacterial SSU rRNA". It matches the Rfam family "Bacterial small subunit ribosomal RNA", at positions 526 to 896 of the family's 1533-position model. The record is from RNAcentral.